This 464-nucleotide ribosomal RNA is filed under the name uncultured bacterium. RNAcentral describes it as "bacterial SSU rRNA". It matches the Rfam family "Bacterial small subunit ribosomal RNA", at positions 337 to 793 of the family's 1533-position model. The record is from RNAcentral.
UCCUACGGGGGGCAGCAGUGGGGAAUUUUGGACAAUGGGCGCAAGCCUGAUCCAGCCAUUCCGCGUGCAGGAUGAAGGCCUUCGGGUUGUAAACUGCUUUUGUACGGAACGAAAAAGCCCUUUCUAAUACAGAGGGUCCAUGACGGUACCGUAAGAAUAAGCACCGGCUAACUACGUGCCAGCAGCCGCGGUAAUACGUAGGGUGCGAGCGUUAAUCGGAAUUACUGGGCGUAAAGCGUGCGCAGGCGGUGAUGUAAGACAGAUGUGAAAUCCCCGGGCUCAACCUGGGAACUGCAUUUGUGACUGCAUCGCUGGAGUGCGGCAGAGGGGGAUGGAAUUCCGCGUGUAGCAGUGAAAUGCGUAGAUAUGCGGAGGAACACCGAUGGCGAAGGCAAUCCCCUGGGCCUGCACUGACGCUCAUGCACGAAAGCGUGGGGAGCAAACAGGAUUAGAUACCCGUGUAA